UACGUAGGGGGCGAGCGUUGUCCGGAUUUAUUGGGCGUAAAGAGCUCGUAGGCGGUUUGGUAAGUUGGAUGUGAAAUCUCCAGGCUCAACUUGGAGGGGUCAUUCGAUACUGCCAUGACUAGAGUUCGGUAGGGGAGUGUGGAAUUCCUGGUGUAGCGGUGAAAUUCGUAGAUAUUCGGAGGAACACCAGUGGCGAAGGCGGCUCACUGGCUCGAUACUGACGCUGAGGUGCGAAAGCGUGGGGAGCAAACAGG
This 254-nucleotide ribosomal RNA is filed under the name uncultured bacterium. RNAcentral describes it as "partial 16S ribosomal RNA". It matches the Rfam family "Bacterial small subunit ribosomal RNA", at positions 524 to 776 of the family's 1533-position model. The record is from RNAcentral.